GAUGAACGCUAGCGGGAGGCUUAACACAUGCAAGUCGAGCGGGAAGGGUAGCAAUACCCUGAGAGCGGCGCACGGGUGCGUAACGCGUAUGUAACCUGCCUUAUACAGGGGGAUAGCCCAUGGAAACGUGGAUUAACACCCCAUAGGACUGGAAUUUCGCAUGGGAAUUCAGUUAAAAUUACGGUGGUAUAAGAUGGGCAUGCGUCUGAUUAGGUAGUUGGUAGGGUAACGGCCUACCAAGCCGACGAUCAGUAGGGGUUCUGAGAGGAUUACCCCCCACACUGGUACUGAGACACGGACCAGACUCCUACGGGAGGCAGCAGUGAGGAAUAUUGGUCAAUGGGCGAGAGCCUGAACCAGCCAUCCCGCGUGCAGGAUGACGGCCCUAUGGGUUGUAAACUGCUUUUCUGCUCCAAGAAACCUGAUUACGCGUAAUCAGUUGACGGUAGAGUAGGAAUAAGCAUCGGCUAACUCCGUG
Molecule: ribosomal RNA, 478 nt
Filed under: uncultured organism
Description: bacterial SSU rRNA
Rfam family: Bacterial small subunit ribosomal RNA
Source: RNAcentral